Molecule: unclassified non-coding RNA, 492 nt
Filed under: Hevea brasiliensis (rubber tree)
Lineage: Eukaryota; Viridiplantae; Streptophyta; Magnoliopsida; Malpighiales; Euphorbiaceae
Source: RNAcentral
UAGUCCUCCAUCAUAUAUACCAACAUCAUAGUAUUUUCAUGUUAACGGCCACUGCAUUGGGCUGGUAACUUAAGACUUUUGUGGUUUCUGUUAGUGAUGAACCGUAAGAAAGCCCUUGGAGUUAAAAUUGAUCAAAGCUGUGCAAAUAAAUUUUUUGAUUUGGAUGAAACUUUUGCGGUUGGAGAGGAAUGAAAUUCCAAUUUAAAAAAAAGUCCAUAAAUUGGUUGUAUUUCGGCUGAAGUUAGUAAUUUUGAAUCUUGUAUCUGGUAUUAUCCUUUCAUUUAUUCUUUUAAUUUGGAAAUUUUGAAUCUUGUAUCUGCUAAAUUCAUUUAAUCAAAUUGAAUAUAUUUGAGUUGGCAUGAGUAGAUCUAUACUUGACUAAAGAACAAGAAAAUUGAACUAGCUUAGUUUGAAGUUUUGGUGGUUUGCAACUUCUUGACAAUGAUAAUGCAGUGAUAUUUCUACAAAUGUUAUCCUAGUUAAUUAAUUAUG